This 121-nucleotide small RNA is filed under the name Hordeum vulgare subsp. vulgare (domesticated barley). Lineage: Eukaryota; Viridiplantae; Streptophyta; Magnoliopsida; Poales; Poaceae. The record is from RNAcentral.
UGGUGGCGUACUGCCUGUCUACUUAUCUAUCUACCUUUUGCGGCUAGUAGUUUCCCAUCUUUUGGUCAAUGAAAUGGAUUGUCAGGUGCCCGUGCAGUAUCAUUUUGCUUUAUGCCUAGUU